Molecule: ribosomal RNA, 254 nt
Filed under: uncultured bacterium
Lineage: Bacteria
Description: partial 16S ribosomal RNA
Rfam family: Bacterial small subunit ribosomal RNA
Source: RNAcentral
UACGGGGGGAGCAAGCGUUGUUCGGAUUUACUGGGCGUAAAGGGCGCGUAGGCGGCCACCGCAAGUCGACUGUGAAAUCUCCAGGCUUAACCCGGAAAGGUCAGCCGAUACUGCGGGGCUAGAAUACGGAAGAGGCGAGUGGAAUUCCUGGUGUAGCGGUGAAAUGCGCAGAUAUCAGGAGGAACACCGAUUGCGAAGGCAGCUCGCUGGGACGUCACUGACGCUGAGACGCGAAAGCGUGGGGAGCAAACAGG